RNAcentral lists this unclassified non-coding RNA (685 nucleotides) under Zea mays. RNAcentral describes it as "misc RNA Zm00001eb402250". The record is from RNAcentral. Lineage: Eukaryota; Viridiplantae; Streptophyta; Magnoliopsida; Poales; Poaceae.
CCAAUCUUUGCAAGGUCUGGAUGGAGCUCAGCCGCUAAUUCGGGAGGGAAAGCCAGCAAGGUCGGUAGCCACAGAGCCAAGAAAGCAGCGUGCAAGAAGAAGCAACCUGUAUUGUAGACUAUACCCCGGGUACCUCAAAAGUCAAUCGAAAUCUCGACGCCCAAACCCGGUCAGCUUCUCUCUCGAGCUGACCAACCGCGCCCCCCUAGCAAGAAUCCAAGCUGCUGCCCUUUUUUUUCCCUUCUCCCUGCAGGUGGUGGAAGAGCCCCGCCCAGUGACGACCCACUCACAGACUCACUCCUGGCGGCGAGAAGGGAAGAUAACCCUGCUUGCAGAAACGGCGGCGCCGCAGCAGAUGUCGGAGGAGCUCACACCUCGAGGCGAGGCGAGGCCGUUGAAGGGCAAACACACCGCCCUCACGGGUCGGCCGGGUAGGUCGAGGCUGGGUGCGGCCGGAUCGCUUGACUUGGCGCUGGCUGGCUGGCUGGACGGAGGCGAGGUGCGGCGGAGGCAGAUGAAGCAAGCAAGCAAGCAAACCGGCGGACGGUCGGAAGCAGACCGCCACCGGCCGAGCUAAGGUGGUGUGGAAGCCGCGGAAGGGAAGCGGUGGCUUCUUUGGCUUUUCCCUCCCCUCUUGUCUUGUGCGCUGCACUGCACGCUACGCUCCGGAGUCUGGGAGUAGGGA